RNAcentral lists this ribosomal RNA (983 nucleotides) under Salmonella enterica. RNAcentral's name for it is "partial 23S ribosomal RNA". It matches the Rfam family "Bacterial large subunit ribosomal RNA", at positions 1175 to 2141 of the family's 2925-position model. Lineage: Bacteria; Pseudomonadati; Pseudomonadota; Gammaproteobacteria; Enterobacterales; Enterobacteriaceae. The record is from RNAcentral.
ACGGGGCUAAACCAUGCACCGAAGCUGCGGCAGCGACACUGUGUGUUGUUGGGUAGGGGAGCGUUCUGUAAGCCUGUGAAGGUGUGUCGUGAGGCAUGCUGGAGGUAUCAGAAGUGCGAAUGCUGACAUAAGUAACGAUAAAGCGGGUGAAAAGCCCGCUCGCCGGAAGACCAAGGGUUCCUGUCCAACGUUAAUCGGGGCAGGGUGAGUCGACCCCUAAGGCGAGGCCGAAAGGCGUAGUCGAUGGGAAACGGGUUAAUAUUCCCGUACUUGGUGUUACUGCGAAGGGGGGACGGAGAAGGCUAUGUUGGCCGGGCGACGGUUGUCCCGGUUUAAGCGUGUAGGUGUGUGUUCCAGGUAAAUCCGGUUCACUUUAACACUGAGGCGUGACGACGAGGCACUACGGUGCUGAAGCAACAAAUGCCCUGCUUCCAGGAAAAGCCUCUAAGCAUCAGGUAACAUCAAAUCGUACCCCAAACCGACACAGGUGGUCAGGUAGAGAAUACCAAGGCGCUUGAGAGAACUCGGGUGAAGGAACUAGGCAAAAUGGUGCCGUAACUUCGGGAGAAGGCACGCUGACACGUAGGUGAAGUGAUUUACUCAUGGAGCUGAAGUCAGUCGAAGAUACCAGCUGGCUGCAACUGUUUAUUAAAAACACAGCACUGUGCAAACACGAAAGUGGACGUAUACGGUGUGACGCCUGCCCGGUGCCGGAAGGUUAAUUGAUGGGGUCAGCGCAAGCGAAGCUCCUGAUCGAAGCCCCGGUAAACGGCGGCCGUAACUAUAACGGUCCUAAGGUAGCGAAAUUCCUUGUCGGGUAAGUUCCGACCUGCACGAAUGGCGUAAUGAUGGCCAGGCUGUCUCCACCCGAGACUCAGUGAAAUUGAACUCGCUGUGAAGAUGCAGUGUACCCGCGGCAAGACGGAAAGACCCCGUGAACCUUUACUAUAGCUUGACACUGAACAUUGAGCCUUGAUGUGUAG